ACGAUCAUAACCCUCUUGUGCUUCUCACCCGCAUUGGACUUUCAAUCGGCGUGGUCUCGAGGCUAAGUCUCGCAAGGACAAGUCUUGCCAUCAGGGACAUCAAUGGAACACUGAAGAAACUUGUGAAGACCCAGUGAGGGUGGAGUAUAGCGGGGCAAGAGUGAGGUGGUGUUGGUCUAGCCCUACUGAGGAACACACUAUGGAGUAAAUACCAGCUCAGCAUUUCAAAUGCCAUUUGAUGGACUAAUUAAGAAUGACAAGCGGAAAGAAACGCUUUGAACGAAGUGAUGACAACUGGCUGGAGGACAAAGGCUCGGGAAAUAAGUAUGGUUGUCCCAAAAUUAAUACCAGGAAUAGGUUCAAAGGUCGUCCUGUGGACUUCAGACAACAGUGGAGAGGGUAUGUGGUUCGUAUCAGCGGUGGCAAUGACAAGCAGGGCUUCCUCAUGAAAUAAGGUGUCCUCACUAAUGGCCGUGUUAAGCUCCUCCUCAAGAAGGGGCACAGUUGUUACAGACCCAAACGCACUGGAGAGAGGAAACGCAAGUCAGUGAGAGGCUGCAUAGUGGACAGCAACCUGGUGUGCUCAAUCUAGUCAUCAUCAAGAAAGGUGGGUACACAACUCUGCUGAUUUAGAUGUACUCUGAUAAAGAGAAUUGAUUUUGUUAGGUGUAACUAUUGGGCAGGGUUUCAUAAUUAUAUACACAGUAUACUGCUGUCAAGCACACAAUCAAGUUGGGGCGUCACCAACUUGCCCUCGAUUGGUAGGUUCUUAUUUUCUUUUUCGGGUACUUUUACAAAAUUGUAAUGAGGUCAUUGUUACCCAGAGUGUCCCCUCAGAUCUGUGCCCGGCUCUACACUGUGUUCCGAUGGUGUCCUGGUGCUAAGAUGCGCUACAAGAGAACAGAGGUCUGCCAAUCAUGUGCCCAACUCAAGAACGUCUGUCAAACCUGUCUCCUUGGUGAGCCCUGUCACUAUAUAACCCCUAACUGUUGCUAUGGUGACACACAAUCAUCAGUACACUGCAUUCAAUACUUCCUAGAACAACUUUUUUCAAGUCAUGAAUUUGUAUAAAAAGUCUCACAGUAUAUCUCUCCAGGGUGUCAUACAGGGAAAUAAGAAAAGUAACUAGAAAAUGUUAAAAAAAGGUCAACUGUUAUUUCAAUACCCAGCUAUGGACACUCAGUCAUCAUUGAAAGGGGGGGAAAUUGGAGCUAGGGGGGAUAUCCCCCUUUCCCCCCCCCCUGUAUGACACCCUGCUCUCUGUUUCUAGUCUAAUAAAGGUCGCGUGUAGCUCUAAGGUCAGUGUGUAAGGUCAAGUUUCUUAGCUUUACUCGCUUUUAUUUGAGCAUUAAAAGUCUGUCACUCUUAAAACUAAUAACUUGUUGUGUGUAUGAGGGCUUUAACCGAAUAGCCGCGGUUAUGAUUUCAUACGUAGUACCGCCCACCGCGGAUCAGGAUCUCCUGGACUCCAACGGAAUUUUCAACCAGCCAAGGCCACAGCGAAGGAUCCUUUUAGAGGUAACUUCCUAGCAAACUAGUCUACAGCAGUUACUCGUCAGGAUCUCCUGGUUUCCAAUGGAACAGUCUACCAGCCAAUGCCACAGCGAAGAAUUAAUUCAGAGCAUUCGCCUCGGGCAAAGAAAGAUGCAACUAACUUUUAGGCAACUGCCUAGCAUUCUCUGUCGGGAUCUCCUGGUUUGGAACGGACCAGCCAAGGCCACAGCACUUCAUAGAUGGCAACGACCUCUGCGUACAUCCUGGUGGUGAAGAGGGAAGUGAGCUAUUCCUAGCGAUUUCAAGGGUGUCUUGCUCUUUUUGGAGCAGUAGUCGCCAAUUAGCUUCUUGGCCAACUCGUGACGAAAUGAGAGGAGGGUUUUCAGUGCGUUGGGCAUCUGUAGUACCCUCUGAGCUGAUCCCCUCUGUCGACACCCCCCAUGAAGUGAUUAUAGUCCUCGAUGCUCUGUGGCACGGGACGGAGAUUUUUUCGCCCGUCUUGACUGUACGUUGUACAGAGGUGACCGAAGUGGCGUCAGAGGCUGUGGAGAUCACACGGACAACCCUAUUGUCACUGAGACCGUCACCUUUUUCUUUCUGGAGAGUCAUGUAUUCCCCCCUGAAAAGGUAAAUAAUAAUUAUGCUUAUUACUUUCUGUCAGCUUUGGCUGCUUGAGAGCCUUGGGGAAGCCUCUGCGGUCAGCGCGAGCUGUACCACAAGUAUAAAUGCCAUCCUUCUCCAAGUCUUCUAACAGUUUGACAGACAUGAAAAAGUUGUCAAAAUAGACGUGGUGGUGCUUGCAUGUGCUUCAACGAGGCUGUGAGGUCUUUCACAACUCGUGCUCCCAGUUGCUUCUCUGGUGUGGCUUCUCUCCCUGUAUACACUUGUAGCAUGUGGAAGUACCCGUCUGCUAGGACCCAAACCUUGAUUCCUCUCUUCACAGGUUUAUUUGGGAGGUACUGUUUCAGUGCAGAUCUACCCUGAAACUUUAUCAUUGCCUCGUCUACUGCAACUUCACGGCCUAAGUUGUAUGCAGCAGAACAGCGCUCGUUGAUCUUAUUGAAGAGGGGGCGUACUUUGGCCAAACGAUCGCUACCUGGGGUGCCUGGAGUCGGGAGAGUGGUGUUGUCCGUGAAAUGGAGGUAUCGUCGGAUGUCCCUAAAGCGAUUGCGUGAGAUCUUCGAUGCAAUUGGUGAGUAGUAGAAUUGCACGUCUCUCCUCCAAUCAUUUUCAAUCGAUGGGAGUUUCACGAUCCCCAUGAAAAUGCAGAAUCCCAUGUAAGCCUUUAGCUCAGCAGUCGUGAGUGGGGUCCAUUUAUCAUGUUGUAGUGGGGUCAUCAUUUGCCUAGCGUAUCAAUUUGUCUCGGCUACUAUGUUAUCCAUUAUUUCAGUGGUAAAGAAAUGCUGGAAUAUGUCUAAGGGAGAACUUGAGAUGGAUACAGCUGGGCCUACAGAUUGGAUGAAGGCCUCUCGAGAAUGGUCAUGAAGGGUGGGAGUCCAAGGGCAGGUUUCAGGUGUGUGUGUGUGUGUGUGUGUGUGUGUGUGUGUGUGUGUGUGUGUGUGUGGCUUAGGCGAAUUUACAAAUGUUGUGUAGUAACCGAUUAUAACUUGUCUGUACUGUGUUGUGCCACUGGCGUAAAGGACAUUGUGUUAUUAUAAUGGUGUGCAACUCAUU
This is a long non-coding RNA of Halichondria panicea, 3168 nucleotides long. RefSeq lists it as uncharacterized. NCBI's taxonomy places the organism in Eukaryota, Metazoa, Porifera, Demospongiae, Suberitida, Halichondriidae. The transcript has 6 exons. The record is from RefSeq and is a predicted model, not a curated record.